UACGAAGAGAGCUAGCGUUGUUCGGAAUCACUGGGCGUAAAGCGCACGUAGGCGGAUGUGUCAGUCAGGGGUGAAAUCCCGGAGCUCAACUUCGGAACUGCCCUUGAUACAGCACGUCUUGAGUCCGGAAGAGGUGGGUGGAAUUCCUAGUGUAGAGGUGAAAUUCGUAGAUAUUAGGAAGAACACCGGUGGCGAAGGCGGCCCACUGGUCCGGUACUGACGCUGAGGUGCGAAAGCGUGGGGAGCAAACAGG
RNAcentral lists this ribosomal RNA (253 nucleotides) under uncultured bacterium. Its description in RNAcentral is "partial 16S ribosomal RNA". It matches the Rfam family "Bacterial small subunit ribosomal RNA", at positions 524 to 776 of the family's 1533-position model. The record is from RNAcentral.